AAACUACAAGGGGAGCCGAAGCUCCCCCAGAAAGUAGUUGCGUGCUCUAUUUUUAUUAUUGAUUUCGGGCUUCUUGUUUUUGUUGAUCGCCCUCGUCAUGAGAUUUGACCUUCAUGACACUCCCAAUCGGGAGUCAAGAGCAAACGGAUUGCUUUGGUCGCUGUGUUGCGAUGAUCAAUGAUCCAACCAGUUCAGGCUCUGCCUUAGGGCAGUU
RNAcentral lists this unclassified non-coding RNA (214 nucleotides) under Pseudomonas proteolytica. Its description in RNAcentral is "Pseudomonas sRNA P29". Lineage: Bacteria; Pseudomonadati; Pseudomonadota; Gammaproteobacteria; Pseudomonadales; Pseudomonadaceae. The record is from RNAcentral.